Molecule: ribosomal RNA, 252 nt
Filed under: uncultured bacterium
Lineage: Bacteria
Description: partial 16S ribosomal RNA
Rfam family: Bacterial small subunit ribosomal RNA
Source: RNAcentral
UACGGAGGAUGCGAGCGUUAUCCGGAUUUAUUGGGUUUAAAGGGUGCGUAGGCGGAUCGUUAAGUCAGUGGUCAAAUUGAGGGGCUCAACCCCUUCCCGCCAUUGAAACUGGCGAUCUUGAGUGGAAGAGAAGUAUGCGGAAUGCGUGGUGUAGCGGUGAAAUGCAUAGAUAUCACGCAGAACCCCGAUUGCGAAGGCAGCAUGCCGGCUUCCUACUGACGCUGAGGCACGAAAGCGUGGGUAUCGAACAGG